UCUUGUACAAGUAUUCGGCUCACUCAAGGGCGGUCUGGCUCAUUCCCCUAAAGGGGGUGAGGCUUAUGACAACAUUUGAAGGUCUAUCUCUCAUGAUAGCUUUUGGCGUAUUCAUUAUCGCCCUGUUGUCUUAUAUAGACAAAAAAUAGACCCCCUUGAGCCUUGGACAGUUUAAGGGUGGUCUAUUCGCAAAGAAUUCCUAUUUGAGUCAGCGCCAGGGUGUUGGUGACACAACUCCCUGG
RNAcentral lists this small RNA (242 nucleotides) under Terribacillus aidingensis. RNAcentral's name for it is "BsrG". It matches the Rfam family "BsrG". From Rfam's summary of the family: bsrE, bsrG and bsrH pair through intermolecular interactions with antisense sRNAs. The record is from Rfam by way of RNAcentral. Lineage: Bacteria; Bacillati; Bacillota; Bacilli; Caryophanales; Bacillaceae.